UGCAUGUGUCAGUGUACUAUAAGAUAACACUCACAAACAUAGUGAGAGGAGGAUGAUUGAUAAAAAAAAAGUGGUCUAUAAACCUAGAGAGAGAUGAGUAUCUUUCGUGAAAGAUCUUGAACUCAAGAUUUAGUUUUGUCAAGAUUUUUCACUAAAGAGAGACUUGAGAUCUCCAACAUGAAGGAUGUGGUCUUCCAGAAGACCUCUUAAGGUUCUCACCAUUUCUCUUCCUAUCAGAUUGUGGAGGGAAGUAACAGAAAUGAAAAAGGAAGAGGGGAAGAAGAUGAAGAGGAGAAUGAACUCAAAAAUCCAGAUCAAACAAUAAACAACACCAACAACAAAUUGCAGUUGAAAAAUAAGAAAAUAAACAAAUCCAAUGACAAAUUAAUAAAUACAAGAACAAAUAAAAAAUAAAAAUGAAAUCUUGUGGACGUUGAGGUUUGUGGAGGGGCAUGGUUGUGCGCUGCAGAGGGGGAGUGUGGUGGCAUCGCGCACCGCAGAGGGGGGUGGGGGUGGUGCCGCCCGUCGUGGAAGGGGAGGUUGGUGGUGUCGUACGCCUCGCCAAGGUAGAGGUUGGUGCACUGCGCAAAGGUGGAGGGUGAGGGAGGGGUGGAGGGGAAAGGGAAGAGGAUUGUGUGGUUGAGAGUGAAGAGAAAAGUGAGGAGAGGGUGAAAGUAAGUGUUGGUUGUUGAGUUGAGAGAAAAAAU
This 707-nucleotide long non-coding RNA is filed under the name Glycine max (soybean). Its description in RNAcentral is "long non-coding RNA (GMAX_LNC000784)". The record is from RNAcentral. Lineage: Eukaryota; Viridiplantae; Streptophyta; Magnoliopsida; Fabales; Fabaceae.